GCCUGGGUGGCUCAGUCGGUUAAGCGUCCGACUUCGGCUCAGAUCAUGAUCUCGCAGUUUGUGGGUUUGAGCCCCACAUUGGGCU
Molecule: transfer RNA, 85 nt
Filed under: Felis catus (domestic cat)
Lineage: Eukaryota; Metazoa; Chordata; Mammalia; Carnivora; Felidae
Also listed under: 1 other name
Rfam family: tRNA
About the family: Transfer RNA (tRNA) molecules are approximately 80 nucleotides in length. Their secondary structure includes four short double-helical elements and three loops (D, anti-codon, and T loops).
Source: Rfam by way of RNAcentral